Cloeon dipterum is the source of this 841-nucleotide long non-coding RNA. RefSeq lists it as uncharacterized. The transcript is spliced from 3 exons. Lineage: Eukaryota; Metazoa; Arthropoda; Insecta; Ephemeroptera; Baetidae. The record is from RefSeq and is a predicted model, not a curated record.
GUGUAGAACGGAGAGAAAAUAUUUAUCGCAGUAGUGGCGUGACACGCAGUACAUGCAUUUAUAUUUUGUAGCGGGGCGCAUCGGCGCGCUCGAGAAAGAAUUCUUCAGUAAUAUUUCUGCUGGGAUGAAUAAAAAGCAGCACGAGAGAAAAGGUGACCGAAGCCCGAGCAUGUGUGUGGCGGGCAAGUGGCCACUGAUGUAUCAGCGCGUUAGCUCGGUUGAGGAAAAAACUGCCUUGUGGACACAUAACCCUGUGUGUUCAAUGUGUCGAUAUUGCGUGUGGCGUAUGUGAAAAAACAAUUGUUGGCCAAAUAAAAAUUGCAGGUUCACUCUGAUACAAAUAUUUGUUUUCAAUUAGUGACCUUUGAUCGUAAAGAGGGUGGAGCUUAAAUUAUUGUGGUAGGGCAGGGUCGUGCUUUUAAAAGCCCGUGUCUCAUGUUAAAUCGUCACUCCUGUCACUGUAUCCCGAUGGAGGACACACGAGAGCCACAUACAACGGAGGAGGAAGGCAGGCAGCAAUGCUGCAGCCACGAUCCAGAUAAUGCGAUGGUCAGAGAUGCUGAACUUUUCUGCGCGUUGAUAUACGGACUCAGAGGCGGCAACCCCGGCACAGCACCGCCUGCACAAUAUGUAUUGAGAAGAUCCAGUUUGUAAAUUUUGAAGAACCGCGUGAAUGUUACCACAUAGCCUCUCUCCGCAAGGCAUUUCAAUCGCAGAUAUGUAGUACGAUUUUAUUAUAUCAUUAAUCGCACAAAUAUUUCUUCAUCUGUUCAUGCUGUAUUUUAUUGUUGGGGUUAAUAAAAAAUGAAUAAAAAUGUUACAACUAGUGUUUAAUUUCACA